RNAcentral lists this long non-coding RNA (487 nucleotides) under Fukomys damarensis (Damara mole-rat). RNAcentral's name for it is "lncRNA (ENSFDAG00000032898.1)". The record is from RNAcentral. Lineage: Eukaryota; Metazoa; Chordata; Mammalia; Rodentia; Bathyergidae.
ACCGGCUGCUCCACGCUCGAGGACGGCUGCCCUGCCCAGGGCAGUGGUCACCUUGUCGCCGCCGGAACACAGCCUGGGCGCUUGGGGAACCAGGUCUAGAGUCCCACGUGCACUUAGCCAAAGGUAGGAGUGUGGUGCCAAGACCACACUUCUCGAAGGCAGUGACUACAGGCUGGUGUGGUUUCCACGGGCAGGUUUCAGCAGCUUCUGUCACCAGUAAGUAUUUAGCAGCACCGUCUUCUAGCAGCACUUCCCUGUCUAGUUCAAUUUUGAAACACAAAAUGGAUGGGAACCUACCAUCCUGGGCCUGAUGCUGAAAAAUUGGAAAAUCUAAAAGCAUCACAAUUGAUGCAAGAUCAAUGAAUUUACUUCAAAUGAAGCACAUUCUUCUGAACAAUCAGAAUGCAUUUAUCUCUUGCCCUAGACUUGCCUUCCUCUAUUGAAAGAUCUAGGAAACCAAAUUAGUCAUCAGAAAUUGGCUCUCUGC